This 708-nucleotide long non-coding RNA is filed under the name Ictidomys tridecemlineatus (thirteen-lined ground squirrel). RNAcentral describes it as "lncRNA (ENSSTOG00000029511.1)". The record is from RNAcentral. Lineage: Eukaryota; Metazoa; Chordata; Mammalia; Rodentia; Sciuridae.
CUUUUGGGCCAUGGUACACCGUGGGCUCUGCAGGCCAGGGGCCCUGGUGGAGCCUGGUACGUCGGGGCAGGGAAGCCCUGGGCUGGGGUGCAGCUUUGGGAGCAAAGCAGGAGGAUCAAGGCAUCUCAAGGGCAUGCCUCAGGCUGUUGUCCUCUGCGGUGGCUGCCACAGGCUCUAUGUUGACCUGGAAAGAUCCAAGGCGCAUGGCCACCUGGAGCUGAAGGCAGGACAUGUCCGUCUGUCCUUGGACUCCUGCUUGCAAUAGCUUUGUGCCCACUGUCCAGGAGGCUGCAUGGAGCUGCCAGAAGCCAGAUGUCCUAAUAUGUCUGCUUUCCAAUGUCACCUGCCGGUCACUGCCAGGUAAACGCCUUCUGCCAGUCCAUCUACACUGCCCAGAGCAAUCCGUCGCAACCACCCUGGGGCAUUCCAGAAUACACGUGUCCCCAGCAGUCACCCCUCACUGUUCUAGUCUGACCAGGAUCAAGCUCUGCCUUCUCAUGAAGUGUGUCAGCCAUCAAGGAUCCCCAGGGCGCUGGCCUGCUGUGCUCAGUCCCCUCUCCUUGGGCUUCGUGCCAUGCCGGCUCAUCUUUUCCAUUUGCUCACUAGUAAGAAUGGCAGUUCCUGUGUCCCCUGGGCUUAGCACAGCCAGUGCCCCCUUGUGGAGACGGACGUCCACUGAGCUCCCAGACUCAGAAGCUUGGCAUCUCC